Molecule: transfer RNA, 75 nt
Filed under: Fidelibacterota bacterium
Lineage: Bacteria; Pseudomonadati; Fidelibacterota
Description: Candidatus Marinimicrobia bacterium tRNA-Asn
Rfam family: tRNA
About the family: Transfer RNA (tRNA) molecules are approximately 80 nucleotides in length.
Source: RNAcentral
UCCGGAGUAGCUCAAUGGCAGAGCGGGUGGCUGUUAACCACUAGGUUGGGGGUUCGAGCCCCUCCUCCGGAGCAA